RNAcentral lists this long non-coding RNA (1065 nucleotides) under Carassius auratus (goldfish). RNAcentral describes it as "lncRNA (ENSCARG00000034037.1)". Lineage: Eukaryota; Metazoa; Chordata; Actinopteri; Cypriniformes; Cyprinidae. The record is from RNAcentral.
UGAUUUAGCCAGUUAUUAAUGCCUAUUUUAGCAUGCUUGGAUAGAAAAAUUAUGUAAUUCAUUAUAACUUUUAUGUCUCAAUUAGUUAGUUUGACCACCAGAGGGCUGAAAAAGAUUAAAUAUUUUAUUUAAUUUUUUUUAUUGUAAAUAAAAAAUACAAAAAUGUCAAUCAAAUGCCAAUUAAAUGCAUGCACUGUAAAAAAUUUCUGUAAAUUUACAGCAUAUUAACAGCGUAAAUAUACAGUUCUGAACUGUUUUCUAAAAUUACGGUGUCUUACCGUAAAUGCACACGUGAUCGGUGGGAGAGGGGGAACCAAAGGCUAGCUGACGCAUGGAGGAGCAUGGUUUCAGUCAAAGUUUUAUGGAUUUCAUCUCAAGUUGAGGCUCAUUUACAGGUAAGCAGAUCAAAGUCUGAAUACAUUUUUAUCUUAAACUGCAGCGUUUUUUUUUUAUGUGGGCACAAUAUUUGAAUUUACCUUUGACAAAUCUUGCCAAGACGGUGAACUAGCAUGUAUGCAAUUUUUACAAAUUUCUCCUGAAAGUUAAGUGUGUAUGAGUGUGUUUGUGAAGGAUUUGCAUCGUUUUUGUUUUUUUUUCUGGUGUAAAAUCCUGUAAAUGUUAAACUUGUAAAUAGUUAAAUAUAAAAUACUUGCGUUCGCUGAUUCUUUAAUUGGAUAUGAAUUGAACAUAUUUGGCAACUUUAGAAGAUGAGCACGUGAUCGGUGGGGGAGGGGAGCAACGGUUAGCGUCUGAUACCAGAGAAAAGUCUCUGUGAAUAAAACGGAUAUUAUCUCAAAUAUAACGAUAUGCAGAUAACGAGGAUAUGAAGAACAUGAAGAUGGACUGGUUUCACAUGCAGAUGUUGCAGCAUCUGCAUCUGAGGUUGAGAAGACACUCAAUCUACCUGCCAAUCCUCAUGCUGGUCAACAUUUUUGACUGCAGUUGCAAGUGUUUGCUGUGCACUACAUCUUCAACCUGCAGUAUCAAGAGGCGGCUUGUUGCACGUUAGAGUUUUUUCAAAGUUUUUUCAGUUCAUCAUCUGAAACACUGUCAAAUGUGGUUUUA